This 656-nucleotide ribosomal RNA is filed under the name uncultured bacterium. RNAcentral's name for it is "bacterial SSU rRNA". It matches the Rfam family "Bacterial small subunit ribosomal RNA", at positions 140 to 812 of the family's 1533-position model. The record is from RNAcentral.
GGGACAACAGUUGGAAACGACUGCUAAUACCGCAUAAGCCCACGGAUCCGCAUGGAUCUGCGGGAAAAGGAUUUAUUCGCUCUAGGAUGGACUCGCGUCCAAUUAGCUAGUUGGUGAGGUAACGGCCCACCAAGGCGACGAUUGGUAGCCGGACUGAGAGGUUGAACGGCCACAUUGGGACUGAGACACGGCCCAGACUCCUACGGGAGGCAGCAGUGGGGGAUAUUGCACAAUGGGGGAAACCCUGAUGCAGCGACGCCGCGUGGAGGAAGAAGGUUUUCGGAUUGUAAACUCCUGUCGUUAGGGACGAUAAUGACGGUACCUAACAAGAAAGCACCGGCUAACUACGUGCCAGCAGCCGCGGUAAAACGUAGGGUGCAAGCGUUGUCCGGAAUUACUGGGUGUAAAGGGAGCGCAGGCGGACCGGCAAGUUGGAAGUGAAAACUAUGGGCUCAACCCAUAAAUUGCUUUCAAAACUGCUGGCCUUGAGUAGUGCAGAGGUAGGUGGAAUUCCCGGUGUAGCGGUGGAAUGCGUAGAUAUCGGGAGGAACACCAGUGGCGAAGGCGACCUACUGGGCACCAACUGACGCUGAGGCUCGAAAGCAUGGGUAGCAAACAGGAUUAGAUACCCUGGUAGUCCAUGCCGUAAACGAUGA